RNAcentral lists this non-coding RNA (232 nucleotides) under uncultured Streptococcus sp. RNAcentral's name for it is "Enterococcus sRNA 1300". It matches the Rfam family "Enterococcus sRNA 1300". From Rfam's summary of the family: Expressed in mid and late exponential phases of growth. Expression remained uniform under daptomycin exposure. The record is from RNAcentral. Lineage: Bacteria; Bacillati; Bacillota; Bacilli; Lactobacillales; Streptococcaceae.
ACAGCCUCAAUGCGUUUAAGAUAAGCUGGCAAUAAAAAAAGCAGAAUCUAUACCCGAUGAUAGGCUUUUUUGUUGUGCUUAUUUAUACGAUAUUGAGCAUUCAUUAGUUACGGUGAGGAUAUUGGUUAUUUAACUAUACCUUUAUUUAACUAUGUCUUUAAUAUGAAUGUUUUCCAAAUUGUAUGUAUGCAGACCAAAAAGCCACAUUGUGGGGUUUUGGCCUGCAUUUUUU